RNAcentral lists this long non-coding RNA (610 nucleotides) under Piliocolobus tephrosceles (Ugandan red Colobus). RNAcentral's name for it is "lncRNA (ENSPTEG00000024520.1)". Lineage: Eukaryota; Metazoa; Chordata; Mammalia; Primates; Cercopithecidae. The record is from RNAcentral.
CGCGUCUCUGGAAAGACGCUGUGUGGCCCUCGCCGGCCGCCAUCCCCGAAACUUGCGAGUGUCGCGUCUGCAGCUUGCGGGGUUCGCGGAGCGGCGGGCAGAGGUGAGUGUUCAGGGAUUUAGGGUCCGCGACUCGCCUCCAGCAGUGGAGACAGAGGGUCAUCGGUCUGGUCUGCGUGGGCUUCUGGGAAUGUUUCAGAGCCAGGGAGAACGCUUGAGCAUUUUUGUCAUCUGCUAAUAAUUUUAGCCAGGUGGCAAGUGGAUGGACUGUGGAGUAAGAAGUACCUGCCUCUGCCUCUGACUUGGGUUCUAGCCUAUGGGAACAAGACAUUUUCAGUAAUGGAAGAAAGAGCUUCCAGGCUAGGGAAGAUCAUCGUUUCCAGUGGUAGCUUGACCUGAGAUGAUACCUGACCACAACUUCUGGGAAGGCCCAGAAUAGACAGAAGAGAGAGAACACCCUAGAGUUGCUAGCCCCUAAGAGUUGAAGAAAAUGGCCAAGGCCCAGGUGAGGUUUGUUUUACCUAUUUUGUCUUUUGUUUCCCAGUGGAUCUGUGGAAGCUUGUAAAAGACAGUCUGGUUAAAUGAGAUAGUGUAUUCGGAUAAAAAUCAG